CAGCAGCCGCGGUAAUACGUAGGGUGCAAGCGUUAAUCGGAAUUACUGGGCGUAAAGCGUGCGCAGGCGGUUCGGAAAGAAAGGUGUGAAAUCCCAGGGCUUAACCUUGGAACUGCACUUUUAACUACCGGGCUAGAGUACGUCAGAGGGGGGUAGAAUUCCACGUGUAGCAGUGAAAUGCGUAGAGAUGUGGAGGAAUACCGAUGGCGAAGGCAGCCCCCUGGGAUGAUACUGACGCUCAUGC
This 244-nucleotide ribosomal RNA is filed under the name uncultured Alcaligenes sp. RNAcentral describes it as "partial 16S ribosomal RNA". It matches the Rfam family "Bacterial small subunit ribosomal RNA", at positions 509 to 752 of the family's 1533-position model. Lineage: Bacteria; Pseudomonadati; Pseudomonadota; Betaproteobacteria; Burkholderiales; Alcaligenaceae. The record is from RNAcentral.